AAUAUGAUUUAAAAUUUUAAUUUGGGGUUUAGUUGCAUAAUCAAUUGGCAAUAUUUUUUGAAUUCAAAAAAGAAUAUAUUGAAGUUGCUCAAUACAUUUAAAGUACAUUCAUAAAACAUUCUUGAUGUAAGGUCGUCAGGACCUUGAUGUUUUAAAGCACAUUCAUAGAACACCCUUGAUGGAACUAUGUAUUAAAAGAAGUGGAGUUUGUGGUAUCAAUUUCACUUUUCACCUCCAAAAGCAUUAAUGUAGGAGACACUUGUCCUGAGAAUAGGACUAGCCACUAAUUCAUCUCUCCACCGUUGGCCAUAUAUUUUAGAAAACCUUCCAUAUUUCCUCCCACAGGGCCACCUGCUAUGGUCAUUAGCAACAGUUUCCCUAAUCAACUCUCUAUCCUCAAUUUUGAAAAAUACAUCAACAAAUUUAUCCUUAUUUGACUCUCUAUUUUAAUCCAUAUAUAAAAUUUUACUCUCCAGUGUGAGGAAAUGAAAAGACCGCUCUCUAUAUAUACAAAAUAACAUUUCACACCCUCAUUUAAAUGGACAACUCGUCAAUCAUACACAUCUUUGACAUUUUUUUUACUACAUUUUCAAAUUAUAAACUUAAUAUUGAAUUUUAAAAAAAAUUAAUUUCAAACGUAUUCAAAUUUAAAAUUGAUAUAAAUUUAUUUAAUUUAUGUCAAUAUAAUUAUAAAUAUUAUAAAAGUACUAUUAAUUAUAAAUUUUAUUAUUUUCAAAAUUUAAAUGAAUCAUAUUAAAUUUUAAUUUAAAAAUAUCACAAAUUAACUUUUUAAAUUUUAAUAUUGAUCUUAUGUACAUUUGCAACUACAAUCUAUUCAAUACUUACUCCAUAAAUUACUUAAAAUUUAAAAUAAAAUAAAAAUUAUUUUACAGUGGGAUAUAAUUGAUAAAUAAUCUCUCUUUUAAUUAUAAAUUAUAAGAUUAUUAUUAAUUUAAUGUUUUGACUGUUGAAACUUUUAAAUUUUAAAUUUCAUUAUUUAAAGAAUCAAUAUAAGGAACAUGUUGGGUACAUAGUGAAAAAAUUGAAUCCCUAUUUUGCAGAAUGACAUAAUAACACUGCAAAGUAAGAAUACAAAUAAAGAAACUGUUGUAAAUGCUCUAAGAAGAAUUGUUUAGCCAGUAAAGGCUAUAUGCUUCAUGUCCAUAGCAAUUUGGUAAAUGUUGAUAGUAUGGUAGUUAGAAACUCUCAAUGCCAUUAUAACGAGAUGGUUCACCAAUAUCCAAAUUUCCAAAAUAUUUGCAUAACAAUAUAUUUGUAGUUUUUAGAUCCACUUUAUAGAUUACCCAUUAGUUAGUUAUAGCUCCACGCAAUGGACUAUAUGAUCAGAGAGGUAAGACAAGGGUCUUUAUGGCAGAUAUUUGCGCACAGACCUUACCUCACCUAUAGUAUUCUUAUGCCUAACUCUUUCAAAAGGAUCUUCAUUCUCAUAAACAUCAAAAACGUACCUAGCUCAAGCUCUAUCACAAUAGGUUAUAUCUACCACAGGAUUCUCCUGCAGUCUAUCACUACCCAAAAAUGUGAUGCAACCUCCAUAAAAAUAACACCCAUCCAUGUCAUUAGCAAUUGAAAAACUAUUAUCACUUACAUCCGGAACCAUUAACCAAUAAAUUUCAUUUCUGAUAUUCAGAGGCAAAUACCAAAACCGCACCACUCCCUGUUUAAGUUUUUUGCACCAAAACUGCACCGGCGAGAACAACGGUUCGGGUAAACACCGGCCAGUUCAAUGCGGUUCAACCAGUUUCGGAUUAAGUUGUGUUUAAAUUGUCAUCCCUUGAGGAUGGCAACAUGCAGAAUAAACUACAUGGUGGCUGAAUACUGUCGUAUUUCCCAACUACAUAUAAGACACUGCAGUUCGGGCUCGAGGAAAGAUAACCUAUUGAUAACCACUAAUGCAAAAUUUUGUGAAUCAUUUUACUGUUAGUUGGACAAUGGAAUCCUUAUACUGUUUACCAAGCCAAAUGACCUCAAAGAAAAUUAAUAAAAAAAAAUCAAUUACAAAAAUGUAAAACUCAGACACAAACAAUAAAUUAAUAUGCAGCACUUCCCUGGCCCCCUAAUUUGUUACCAAAUUUGAACAACACUGAUCCCAUAAAACGACCUUCCUUAAGAAAGGGUAGAUUCUGUUUUUUCAACUUAAAAUUUGACUUGUAAUAUGUUUUAAAUUUAAGAACAUCAAACUUUGAGAGCAGUAGAAUUUAGCUGCCAUUUAGGGGGCAUUUAGGGAGGGGGCUAAACUUAAUUUCUAUCCAAAACCCCUUCACUUUCCGGGUUUUACCACUUUUCCCAAAAAAAUAUUCAACUUCUCAAACAAUUAGUAAUACCCAUCUUAAAACUAAUAUAUUGCUCCAAAAUUUAGUCUCUUGAGGCUUUAAAAAAGGAACCCACCUGAUAUGAAUGGAAUGAGCAAAAGAUUUUAUUCCUUCAAUAAGAAAUAAAGCUCUAAUUCCCAACUUCCACCGUCUAUAGACGGCAUCAAAUAAAAUAAGCAUAUUCAAGUUCAUGAUACACGAAGGGAAAGUAACAUCACAUAAAGUAGAGGAACCAGCAGACCAACAGAACCAGCAGACCAGCAGCCACGACGAGCAACCACCGAAAAAAGAGGGAUUUUUAAAUAACAAACCCUAGAUUUUCAAAUGCAUGAAAAAUAAUUUACAAACCCAAUUAAGUUAUGGAGCUUUACCUUCCGAUCCGUUUGACUCUGCUUCGCGGAGACCUUCCGAUGAGCUCUUCCGUCUGCUACUUUAUCUUGUGAGAGAGGGAAGAAAGAAGGUGGAGAGAGAAAGUAGUAUCAGUGAUCUGAGCUCUGGUUUUAGACUAAAGAAUGAAACACGCGUGUUUUUUCUCCAUCUUGACCCGUACGCUCAACCCGCGUGGUUUUUUACCCAAUUCGUCAUUAGUCCGUCAGUUUAGUUCGCUGGAGAAGGAUGUUGUAUAAAUAUAUAGAGAGAGGCGAUCAUUUAGAGAGAGGAGAGAGAUCUAGAGAGUGGUGGCGGCAAUGCAGGGAGAGAUUGGCGGCGAAAAUGGGAAGCAGAACUCUCUCCGAUGUCGUCCGUCGUAUGUUUCAGCGUCGAUAUUCCGCCACCACCGUUAGCCGAAGUAGAAGAAGAAACGACACCGUUAAACAGGAUAAAAAAGAAGGAUCAGAAUUUCACAUUUCUGGUCUAAAGCUCAUCCAAGUUCCUGAAAGAACAAUUUUCAAACUCGUCUCCACCGACACUCAUAAAUUGGUCCGAAAGUCAAUUCUCUCUCCUCUGUAUAAACUGUUCGGUGGAGAUAAGAAGAUAAGGCUCGCGUUUUUAGACGACGUGACCUCAUCAUUUUUUCUAUCAUUUUUUUAUUUCUUAAACUAUAUAUACACAUAUUUAUAUAUAAUGACUUAAUUCCUGUAUCAUUCAAUUCAAUCUUAAACUAUGUUAACUCUCAUUAUUAUCUAGCUGUAAUCACUUAAUUAGACUGAGUAUGCCCCCCAUUAUUUAGAUAGAUAUUUGACUUGAUCUGAGAUAUGUUACACUAUAUAGAGAAUAUAGAAUAUAGAACAUAGAUAGAACAUAGACCAUAAACCAGAACAUCGAAUAUAGAAUAUAUAGAUGUGUAUGUGCAUAUGUAUUCAAACUUAGAUUUUGAUUGGCUGGUUGCUGUUCUUCUUGCUUUGAUCUCUGAAAGCGUUUGGGGAGGACUAACCUCAAACGGUUUCGUUUUCCCUGCAAAUUGUUUUCAAAGAGCAAGAAGAUAUCUUUCUUAAUUUUGUUUGGAUUGAACGUUCAAGUUCUUAAUGGGUGUGCAAGUUUUUCAUUGUUUUAGCCUAAUUUCAUCAUAGUUACUCAUCACAGAUCAUCUAAAUUGUGUACAAACUUUCCCACUGCUCAGUUUUAGUUUUAACCAAGUAUUAGCAUACUGUUAGUACAUUUGUUAGCCUAGCUUCCUUGUGUACUCAUUUACUCCAUUAAUCCUUGCUAAGCCAAGUGCUAGUCAGGUUUAAACUCCAUUGAAACUCGAGCCCACAAAUUGUUCUCGUGUAAGGAUCAAUUCACACCACCAAAAAACACUCUAGCUCAUUUACUAAGAAUAUCAAGUAGUGUCACUACUGGAUAAAGUUUGCAAUUCUAAUUCUCAAUAAUUCUAGGAAUUCCUUCUACACAUACAAAUAGUAGUGAUGGCUUGGCAAAAAAAAAAUUAAUGAAAAUAAGAGAUUAAUCAGAAAGCCAAAUCGGAUUAAUGAAAAUAAAAGAUUAAUGAAAAUAAGAGAUUCCUUCUAUACAUACCUAGUCCAGGUUCCCAAAAAAAAUUAAUGAAAGCCAAAUCGGAACCAAGGAAGAGAUUCAGAAUGACCAAAAAUAAGAGACGCGUCAUUAAAAAAUAUUUUCAAAUAGCAAUUAACAAAAUUUCUGUUGCUAUAUACUCUCGAGGAAAAUCAAGUCAGAUUUACUUAUAAAAAAAUCAAAUCAAAUCAUAUUUAUGAAGUGUUCAAUUCAAAACUCAAAAUUAAGAAAACAACAGACAUAUAGAAUAUAACAUGAAUAAAUCGAUCUAUGUAAUACAGUUAGGAUGCAUGGGAUCGAUAAUUGAAAGAGAGAUAGAAGACGAACUUGCUUACUCUACUUUUGAGGGGCAAAAAUUAGGGCAAGCCGUCGCGACGGAUUUGGGGCAAAAAUUAGGGCAAUCCAUGGUUUUGAGAUUUGGGGCAAGUGAACGCCUAAGAUCGUGAGAAGCGAGGGAAAGAGAGAUCGGGAGAGCGAGAGAGGAGAGCUUGGGGUGAUAAAUCGUGAGAAGCUGAAGAUCGGAAGAGCGAGAGAGGAGAGCUUGGGGUGAGCGAGAUAGAUUUCAGAAGGAAAUGACUGAACAGGAGCCCAACCCCAAGUUCGUGUAAAUGUGAGGAGAGAAAAAAAGAAAUACUGUAGGUUUUUAUAGGU
RNAcentral lists this long non-coding RNA (4931 nucleotides) under Panax ginseng (ginseng). RNAcentral's name for it is "long non-coding RNA (PGIN_LNC016001)". The record is from RNAcentral. Lineage: Eukaryota; Viridiplantae; Streptophyta; Magnoliopsida; Apiales; Araliaceae.